UCCUUUUACUUAGAGGAUGUAUAAUGUAG
Molecule: non-coding RNA, 29 nt
Filed under: Rattus norvegicus (Norway rat)
Lineage: Eukaryota; Metazoa; Chordata; Mammalia; Rodentia; Muridae
Source: RNAcentral